This 93-nucleotide ribosomal RNA is filed under the name uncultured bacterium. Its description in RNAcentral is "partial 16S ribosomal RNA". It matches the Rfam family "Bacterial small subunit ribosomal RNA", at positions 1390 to 1482 of the family's 1533-position model. The record is from RNAcentral.
CCGCCCGUCACAUCACGAAAGUGGACUGCACUAGAAGCCGGUGAGCCAACCGCAAGGAGGCAGCCGUCCAAGGUAUGGUUCAUGAUUGGGGUG